Long non-coding RNA from Leopardus geoffroyi (Geoffroy's cat), 1351 nucleotides. RefSeq lists it as uncharacterized. The record is from RefSeq and is a predicted model, not a curated record. NCBI's taxonomy places the organism in Eukaryota, Metazoa, Chordata, Mammalia, Carnivora, Felidae. The transcript has 4 exons.
UCUCCCUCUCUCUCUGCCCCUCCAUGGUUUGCUCUCUCUUUCUCUCUCUUUCUCAGAAAAUAAACAAAUAAACAUUAAACAAACAAAACUGGGGGCUCCCAAACCACCUUCACUUUUGAUAAUUCUCUGGAAGGCCUCCCAGAACUCACAGAGGCACUCCCCGUGGCUGUGGUUCCUGAUGAAGCCAGCUAAGGGAAAAGUGCAGAGGGCAAAGUGUGGGGGCCUCCACACGCCAAGCUGCCGUCGCCUCCCAUGCAGUCAGGGCGUGUGACACGCCCAGCCUGGGUGUGUGAGGAUUGCAAACCAGGGAGGCUUGUCUGCUGUUCAGUGUUUAUUGGAGCUUCCAGGAUGUGGGCGUGACUGAUUGAUUGAUUGCUCUUGUGGCUGAAGUCAGUCUUCAGGUCAACUUGACGAUGCAUGACGGGAUCUCCCGGCUACAUCACCUGGAUGGGUCUUUCUGGCACGACCAGCCUCCACCUUAGAGUACAGAUUGGCCUGCCCUCGCCUAAACAAAGACGCUUUUAUCAGGUGCGGCAUAGAUUACCUCCCAGAAGGCAAAGACAAAGGCCAGACCUCCUCUUCAGGCAAGCCCAAAUUCUUUACUGCACCACCUGGCCUUUAUCCAAAGCUCUCCUGCAGCAAAAUAAACAUAUGCCCUAACGUUUGGAGGUGGCAGCGUGGAGUAGGAGGCUCUUAACUCAGUUUUCAGACUAUCAAUAUCAGCGGUGCAAUCUUCCCGGUGACACGGUACCAACGUUACACCACAUCACAGUGUGGGGAGUGGACGUAACCUGAAGGGUAAGAGUCACAAGACGGUGGCGUAUUACUGAAAUUCCACUCAAUCAUCAACAACCGGCCCAACUCGUCAUCAUGUCAUACGACCACAAUGGGUCCCAAAGCAUUCCCACUCAGACUAUCUACUGUUGGAAGGAACGCGCGCGAAGUUCAGCCCGGUGAUACGCUGUUCCUGAUUGCCUGCACUGACACUACUUGAGGAAAUGCACCCCCCUCAGUCCAUUCCCCUUCAUACAAGAGCUACACAGUCAUACCAGCGUUCUCCCUCACCCCUUCUGCAGACCCCCCAGAAAAGCAGAGAAAUCUACCGAGUAAGCAACACCCUCAUGAAGAUACCCGUCAAAUAAACUCAGGCUGGACAACUGAAUGAUGAGAGAUCACAUAGCGGAGAGAGGCCCAGCCAGCCCACCCGGAGGCACUAGAAAUAGGAGUGAAGCCAUCUUCAAUUCCUCAGCCCUGGUCAAACCACCCCAGCCAACACUACGUGGAACAGAGGCUCCACAGAGUUCUGCUGAAUUUGCAGUCAUGAGAAAAAAUAAAUGGUACUUUGAGCCGG